CCUACGGGGGGCAGCAGUGGGGAAUAUUGGGCAAUGGGCGCAAACCUGACCCAGCAACGCCGCGUGAAGGAAGAAGGCUCUCGGGUUGUAAACUUCUUUUAUCAGGGACGAAGCAAAUGACGGUACCUGAAUAAGAAGCCCCGGCUAACUACGUGCCAGCAGCCGCGGUAAUACGUUGGGGGCAAGCGUUAUCCGGAAUUACUGGGUGUAAAGGGUGAGUAGGCGGCAUGGUAAGCCAGAUGUGAAAGCCUUGGGCUUAACCCGAGGAUUGCAUUUGGAACUAUCAAGCUAGAGUACAGGAGAGGAAAGCGGAAUUCCUAGUGUAGCGGUGAAAUGCGUAGAUAUUAGGAAGAACACCAGUGGCGAAGGCGGCUUUCUGGACUGAAACUGACGCUGAGGCACGAAAGCGUGGGGAGCGAACAGGAUUAGAUACCCCAGUAGUC
Molecule: ribosomal RNA, 443 nt
Filed under: uncultured bacterium
Lineage: Bacteria
Description: partial 16S ribosomal RNA
Rfam family: Bacterial small subunit ribosomal RNA
Source: RNAcentral